This 492-nucleotide ribosomal RNA is filed under the name uncultured bacterium. RNAcentral's name for it is "partial 16S ribosomal RNA". It matches the Rfam family "Bacterial small subunit ribosomal RNA", at positions 30 to 507 of the family's 1533-position model. The record is from RNAcentral.
AUUGAACGCUGGCGGUAGGCCUUACACAUGCAAGUCGAACGGCAGCACAGUCAGAGCUUUCUCGUACAGGUGGCGAGUGGCGGACGGGUGAGGGGUACAUCGGAAUCUACUUUUUCGAGGGGGAUGACGUAGGGAAAAUUACGCUAAUACGGCAUAGGACCUACGGGUGAGAGCAGGGGAUCUUCGGCCCUUGCGCGAUUGAAUGAGCCGAUGGCGGAUUAGCUAGUUGGCGGGGUAAAGGCCCACCAAGGCGACGAUCCGUAGCUGGUCUGAGAGGAUGAUCAGCCACACUGGAACUGAGACACGGUCCAGACUCCUACGGGAGGCAGCAGUGGGGAAUUUUGGACAAUGGGCGCAAGCCUGAUCCAGCCAUACCGCGUGGGUGAAGAAGGCCUUCGGGUUGUAAAGCCCUUUUGUUGGGAAAGAAAAGCAGUAGGUUAAUACCCCGCUGUUCUGACGGUACCCAAAGAAUAAGCACCGGCUAACUUCGUG